RNAcentral lists this long non-coding RNA (302 nucleotides) under Ananas comosus (pineapple). Its description in RNAcentral is "long non-coding RNA (ACOM_LNC038263)". The record is from RNAcentral. Lineage: Eukaryota; Viridiplantae; Streptophyta; Magnoliopsida; Poales; Bromeliaceae.
UAUGUUUUAAGAAUGUUUUUGCAGGAAUAAUUCAAGACUUCAAGACUCUAUGUCUAAGUCAUAGAGUUUGUAUUAAGGUUGGAAAAGUGUAAAUUUCGUUUAUUGGAUUGAUCAUGCAGGAGAUUAUCGUUUGGUGAUUGCGAUGAUCUUCUUUUUAUUAUUUAUUAGUUGUGUACGAACUUUGUAAUAUAUUUUGUCACGAAAUCGCCAAAGGGGGAGAUUGUUAAGGAUUUUAUAGGUUGGCGGAUUUCGUAAUGUUGAAUGGAGUCUUGAAGAGUUGAUUGCAGAAGAUUGAAGAAAAG